AUUGAACGCUGGCGGCAGGCCUAACACAUGCAAGUCGAGCGGAUGAAGGGAGCUUGCUCCUGGAUUCAGCGGCGGACGGGUGAGUAAUGCCUAGGAAUCUGCCUGGUAGUGGGGGAUAACGUCCGGAAACGGGCGCUAAUACCGCAUACGUCCUGAGGGAGAAAGUGGGGGAUCUUCGGACCUCACGCUAUCAGAUGAGCCUAGGUCGGAUUAGCUAGUUGGUGGGGUAAAGGCCUACCAAGGCGACGAUCCGUAACUGGUCUGAGAGGAUGAUCAGUUACACUGGAACUGAGACACGGUCCAGACUCCUACGGGAGGCAGCAGUGGGGAAUAUUGGACAAUGGGCGAAAGCCUGAUCCAGCCAUGCCGCGUGUGUGAAGAAGGUCUUCGGAUUGUAAAGCACUUUAAGUUGGGAGGAAGGGCAGUAAGUUAAGACCUUGCUGUUUUGACGUUACCAACAGAAUAAGCACCGGCUAACUUCGU
This 483-nucleotide ribosomal RNA is filed under the name uncultured bacterium. RNAcentral describes it as "partial 16S ribosomal RNA". It matches the Rfam family "Bacterial small subunit ribosomal RNA", at positions 30 to 506 of the family's 1533-position model. The record is from RNAcentral.